CACACCUGCUGUAGUCAUGUGAGCCCUGACACGUCAACAUAUCUUUCCUACGCUUAACACUUCAGAAGAAAAAGUCCUGAAAGAAAGGCAAAUUUAAACUGACAAGAGAGAAACCUCUCGAAGCAAAAGGAUAUUUUGCCAACUUAAACAAGCAUCAUGGGACGAGGUGAGAGUGAGGACUGGGAUUAUGAGCCUAAGGAGACAAGGACAACUCAGCCGAAGAAACACGAGGACAAAGAUGACAAAAGCUCAGAGGGUGGAGGCUGUCCAAAGUGCUGCUUGAGGACCAGGGACUGUCUUAUGAGCGCAGAAUGUGGCAGGGCGUUGCAAAUCUCCAGUGUUGUGGCUUUCUGUGGAAUGUGCAUCAGAGCAUGGACAUGAUAAAUUCUACGGGAUCAAGACCUUCAGAACUUCCAUUUAAAUUAUGAAGGAUCAUUCAGUCUUCUGUUUAAGACACUUUUUCAGAUAAUAAAUAAUAUAGUUUAACUUUAUUUUGCUCUUAACUUUAGCAGGUAUUUAAAAAAUAAAUGUGUGCAGUAUUUUUACUAAAAGUGCUUCUUAAUUUGAUGCUGAGCUAAAUUUGCAUCCUUUCAUCAAACCAUGGAGACAAGCUAGAUAUUUGUUGAUGUUUUAACUACCUUGUAUUAUAGUCUCUUAACUUUGUUUAUGUUUGUAACGUGGUUGUUUCUGUAUCUCUAUCUAUAAAACCUAACUUUGAAUAAUCUUGUAUUUUUAUUUAUUGCAAUUAACCAGAAGAUAGAAAAAGCUUAUUUUAACAUCUAUUAAACAAAGAAUAAAUGUUCAUAUGUUUAAAGAGAAUUAUUUAAGUUAUUUUUCCAAAGACUUGGGUCAAAUGUCAGAGAUAAAAUAUUACAAAAUAAAGUAAAAUUAUUGUUCUUGAAAAGCCA
Cyprinodon variegatus (sheepshead minnow) is the source of this 908-nucleotide long non-coding RNA. RefSeq lists it as uncharacterized. The transcript has 3 exons. NCBI's taxonomy places the organism in Eukaryota, Metazoa, Chordata, Actinopteri, Cyprinodontiformes, Cyprinodontidae. The record is from RefSeq and is a predicted model, not a curated record.